GUGGAAGGGCCUUGAGUCUACACUGCCAUAUAAUCCAGUUAAAAUCAGAUAAUCUGUAUUUUAUAGGCAGUGUGGAAGAGGUCUAAGUGAGGCCUAACUCUGCCUGUCCCCUGGGCUGAGUGGGUUGCUAGGAGACCAAGUAGGCGGAGCGUAGCCUUCUAACUGGCAGCAAUUGGAUAAAAACAAUUAUUCUUCUCCCUCUAAUUAGGACUUUAUUUUUCUUUUCUUUUUGUUGUAUGAACGUAGAGGCAUGGAUGAGGGAUUGUGCUGCUGAGUUUAGUGUUUCUGGGAUGUGUAGUUUUGUUGUUUUGUCCUAGGCUGAAAUUUCAUUACCCUUUUAUAUAUAUAGAUAAUGUAUAUUCUGUACAUUAGAUGUAUAGAAAAAUCUUGUUUCCUUCUAAUCCAUUUCCAACAUUAUUCUGAGAAAUAUGAUUUGGAAAAUAAUUGAAUUUCUUAGGGAAACUGUAUGAAUUAGUUAACCAGAAGUUUCCGUUCCCACAUUACUAAUAAGAAAAUGUAAAUAAGAAUAAGAAAAGGUGCCAAUGCACUGUUCAGAGACAUAACUCAUUUCAGUAAGUAAUUAUAUAAAACAUUGUUUAAAAGAUAAAACAAGGAAGCUUCAGGAGUAGAUAUAAUAGCAGAGAUGAUGUCCUUUAGAAAGGCCACAUCUGGGAAAUUGCAGGAAGCAAUUAUAUGAAAAAUUACAUACAAGUGAAGUUGUGAACAGUAUAUAAAGCAAGGCUCAAUUUAAAACAUGCAAGGGUUUGCCCAUGCAAAAGCCUUGUGCGGUAAAAUCCAAAUGUACUUGGGAAAUUAAAUAUGAUAAACUGGACCUUGAUAUGAAAAUCUGCCCCAUGCUUCCCUUCUUUCUCCUUGUUUGCCAUCUGGCAGGAAGAAAACAUUGUCAUGAAACAUUCAUUAUGUUUUUUCCGGCAGCACCUAGAACCCCAUUGUGCUAGGCAUUGUGCGAGUGCAAGAAAAGGUCAAAUCAUGCUUCAUUCAAAUACCAAUCUGAUUAAAUCUCAUUCUGUUUUCCUCCCCCUCCUUUUGUGUUGCUUUUCAUGCUGCAUGUAAGUUACUGCAUUACUGUAUUUAUUAUUGCUUUUAGUUUUCAAGUUGGUUGUUGCUAUUAGAGCUUGCAAAGUUAUCUUUUUUGACCAUGAUUCUCAAAACUGUCAGGGGAUUCUGAGCGUUGUAGUACUAUAAGUCAUGUUUUUUUUUUCCAAGUUCUGAUUUUUAUACAGUGUGGCUCCCAUACCCACAAGGAUAAAUUCCAAGAAUGCCACAGAGACCUGAAACCAAGGAUAGGAGUGAAUCCUAUAUUUUGACUAUGCUUUCUUGGACAGGAAGCCUACUUUGGAAUACCACUGGAGAGAAUCAAAAACACUUCCAAAGGGAAUAUUUUUGGAGCAUGGGUAAAUGAAACCACGGAUAUUAUUUUGUGGAUAAGGGGUCAUACUGUACUGUACUGUAUUGUUUUUGGCAUAUAAACAUCAAAAGCCUACAAACACCAAAAAUGAUAUAAUUAUCAUAAAUGUAUAUUUAUUUUAUUUAAUGUCAAAAGCAUUGUAUAAAUAAGUAUACAAUGAGCCUAAAAACCUGGCUCUUCCAAAAGGCCUUUGACGAUUAAUUAUUAGGUUGAACUAUCUGCCCAUCCAACUACAGGAUAUUCUGCCACUACUAUGCACUUUAUGGACUACUUUGGCUGAGAAACUACCUCUCCCAUUUGGAUAUAUUCUGCACUUUGGCCCAGAUCCUUGUUUUAGUCUCCUGUUUUUAACAUUUUAUGCUGUAUGUUGAUUUUUAUGAUGGUUUUAUUGAUAUUGAUGUUUUACUGUUGAAAUAAUUGUUUUAUCAUUUUAUUGCUGUAUGUUUCGGGCUGUAUGUAAGCCGCUCCGAGUCCCCUCCGGGGAGAUGGGGCGGGGUAUAAAAAUAAAGUUAUUAUUAUUAUUAUUAUUAUUAUUAUUAGGUAUAAAACUGAUAAAAUAGAGGGAACUCAAGCGACUGAAUAAAAUUAGACCAAAAACGGGCAAUAUCAAUUGCAUUGUCUGUAGCUUUAAACAAUUCUUUCUUUGUGCAUGAGGCAGGGCAUUGUGGGCAAGCAUACAGAUGCAGAGCUAUUUGCACAAGGUGGAGGAUUCUUCUAGGACAUGCCAUUUUACCAGGUUGUCUUUUGAUCUGCCCAAUCUGCUUCUGAGUCUGUUCAGGGACUUCCAAGUUGCCUAUUCUUUGUUUGCCCCCGGAGGAAGAUGCUCGCGGGGGUCAUCCGUUUGAGAUUGCCUGGUUUAGCUGCCCAGAGGGAUAUUCUUGCUGCUGCUGGGGGAAGAUUUAGAGGAGUGUCAGUUCUCAUGAAACUUUCCCUUGAUUUGAGUUUACUGGGAGUAGGUUGAUAGCCAUAUAGCGGGUGGCUUUCACAGUGUUCAACUUUAUUUCUCUCCCAGUUAGCAGCAACUUCCUGUCGCACAUCGGGAGAGGGCAAUGCCAGCUAACUUGUAGAGUUUAUCAACAGGUGUAUGUUAGUGACAUCCUGUGAUUAUUCUACAUGUUUCAUUCAGUACUAUAUUUACCUGCUUCACAUAGACAGACUUGUGCCAAACAAGACAGGCAUACUCAGCAGUUGAGUAAGACAAGGCCAGGGUUGAUAUUCUUAUUAAUUUUGGGUCUGUACCCCAUGUACUGCUAGUAAGUUUCUGCAGGAUAUUAUUGCGUGCAGCUACUUUGUGCUUGGUGUUCAUACAGUGUUUCCUAAAUGUUAGUGUUCAAUCUAAGGUGACACUGAGAUAUUUAGGAUGGAAACAGUGUUCGAGCUCUUGGCCUUCCCAGGUAACUUUAAUUUUUCUGUUGGCUUCAUGGUUACGUAGGUGGAAAGCAUACACUUGUGUCUUGGCAGGUCUAGGCUUCAGAUGGCUAUCUUUGUAGUAGCUGGACAGAUCUUCCAAGGCAUUAGUAAGUUGUUUUUCAACUGUUUCAGAGUCUUUUGCUUGUGUUGUUAGGCCAAGGUCGUCAGCGUACAUAAAACUCUUUGUGAGUGGCUGAUGGUUAGUAAAGAUGUUAAACAAGGUUGAUGCAAGAACGCUUCCUUAGGGUAAACCAUUCUUUUGCCUCAUCCAUCUACUUUUCCUGCCUUGAAACUCCAUAUAGAAGUUGUGGUUUUCUAGGAGGGUCUGGACAGUUUUUGUAAAAUCGUGGUCCCGGGUAAUAUGGUAGGCUUUAUCCAGCAUUUUUCUAUGUUGUACCGUGUCAUAGGCUGCUGUAAGGUUCACAAAAACUGUUCCCAUAAUGCAGCCUUUCUCAUAUCCUUUCUCAUAUCCUCAAUAUACUCAGUCAGAUUGAGAAUUUGAGCUGUAUAUUUUUUCCUUAGUCUAAAACCUGCCUGUUGUGCAAUAAGAUGGGGUUCAAUAACAGGGCCUAGUUGAUUUAAUAGCACUCUCUCAUAUACUUUAUAUAAAUGACAUAGGAGAGAGAUUGGUCGGUCAUUCCUGGCAUCUUUACCAGGUUUUAAAAUGGCAGUGGUGUUAGUUUUCCUGUAUAUCGAUGGCUGCUUUUUCUUUGAGUUCAAUUUCAAAUGCUGAACAGGAUAGUGGGUGGUACUCAUUGAUGGAAUUUCACCAUCAGAACAUCCUCGGCUAAAAAUAUUAAUACUACUUCUGUUUGAAGCUUCCUUGCUUCCCAAUCUUUACACCUAUUCUUGCAGGUUCAAACAUUCUCUAGAGUAGAUUUCAGAAAGUUCAGGAGCAGAAAAGUAGAAUGAAAAGGUAAAAAUCACAGCAAGGCUCUACAUCUGUUUCUGUAUCACUGUAUUUAUGUAACCAGACUUGAAACUAGGGGAUUUUCUACAAUAGUUCCCACAAUCCCCCUGUCAUGUCCAUAAUUACACUAGACAAAGACUGCAGUCCGAAAAAGGACAAUUGCCAAGCAGUGUUAAUAAAUAUAUAAUGAUGCCUCAAAAGACAUGAAAAGGUGUGGAAUAACAGGAGCAAAAAUAGUGCAUAACCUAGCUUUUGUAAAACAGGGGAGAGACAUCUUUUUUUAGCCUAGAUGUUAAAUUCCAAUUUAGAAAGUAUCUUGAGGCAGCAAUUUCUAAUUUAGGAAGCACAUUGCAACAGUGGAUAGGUAUAAGGGCAUGGGGGAAACCCGAAUCAAAAUGUGUGGAGUCAAAUAGCAUUCUUGCCAGUCUACACAUUUUCACACCAGGAGUUCAAAGCACUGGUCAUUUCCAUGCAUGUCCACUCAGGAAUGAACCAGAGUGUAAUCUUUUCCAGGACUGCAAAGCAAUAUUUCAUCUUAUACAAUGUAUUUAUUGUGUAAGAAGCGAAUUGAUAUAUAAACACCAAGUAGCCACAGUAAGAACAGAUCACAGAACAACAGACUGGUUCAAGAUUGGGAAAGGAGUGUGGCAGGGCUGCAUACUUUCACCUUCCUAUUCAACUUGUACGCAGAACACAUCAUGCGACGUGCGGGGCUUGGGAAUCCAAGGCCAGAGUUAAAAUUGCUGGAAGUAUGCAGAUGAUACCACUCUGAUGGCCGAAAGCGAGGAGGAGCUGAGGAGCCUUAUCACCAAGGUGAAAGAAGAAAGUGCAAAAGCUGGGUUGCAGUUAAACGUCAAGAAAACCAAGAUCAUGGCAAAUACACCUAUUGAUAACUGGCAAAUAGAGGGGGGAAAUGUGGAGGCAGUGACAGACUUUAUAUUUCUAGGCGCGAAGAUCACUGCAGAUGCAGACUGCAGCCAGGAAAUCAGAAGAUGUUUACUUCUUGGGAGGAGAGCAAUGGCCAACCUUGACAAAAUAGUGAAGAGCAGAGACAUCACACUGGCAACGAAGGUCUGCAUAGUCAAAGCAAUGGUAUUCCCCAUAGUAACCUAUGGAUGCGAGAGCUGGACCAUAAGGAAGGCUGAGCGAAGGAAGAUAGACGCUUUUGAACUCUGGUGCUGGAGGAAAAUCCUGAAAGUGCCUUGGACCGCAAGAAGAUCCAACCAAUCCAUCCUCCAGGAAAUAAUGCCCGGCUGCUCACUGGAGGGAAGGAUAUUAGAGGCAAAGCUGAAGUAUUUUGGCCACAUCAUGAGGAGACAGGAAAGCUUGGAAAAGAUCACGAUCGGGAACGGGAAAAUGGAAGGAAAAAGGAAGAGAGGCCGACCAAGGGGAAGAUGGAUGGAUGGUAUCCUUGAAGUGACUGGGUUGACCUUGAAGGAACUGGGGGUGGUGACGGCCGACAGGGAGCUCUGGCGUGGACUGGUCCAUGAGGUCACGAAGAGUCGGAGAUGACUAAAUGAAUGAGCAACAGCAAGCCCGAUAGAGUGUUCCACCGUGUGGUUGAGUGUUUGUUUAAACCCAGCUUUUCCUUGAACAAUCUCAUCAUGGCAAACAAAUAUUAUUCUCCAUUAUGAGCCAUGGAUUGAGGGAAUUGGUUGUGAUAUGGAGAUAUGUCAUACAACAGUUUUCUGGAAGAUGAACAUGUUGGGGUGUGGCCGAUAACUCAGUGCAAGGUAGGCUUUGAAUUCUGGUUAUACUGCCUUCAGUGCUACUAAAGAAAUGUAGUACCUAAAUAUAAUAAAUAGGGCAUAUCACAUUUAUUUUAAAAAAAUUCCCAGUUUCUAGCCUAGUAAACUACUAUUAUGAGGUCCAAACAAAAAUAUUUUGAUGUCUUGGUUCUGAGGUCUGUUCCUAGGAUUAUUUAGGGCACUGAUUCAAAAAAUUGCAUUGCAUACACCACAUCAGCUCUAGUUUCUUAGAUAUGGUUAUCAUAAUUUUUGAUGGGUGAGCAGAUGAAGACGGGUAUAUGGUAUAUGUUCUGUAUCUCAAAAACUAGAACUGAUAGGGGGAAACUGGUGCCAUUUUUGGACUCAAGAGGUGAAAUAUACCCAGAAAUAGGUCUAACAUUUAAGGCAGCAAAUGCGUGUUGGCCAAUGUUAUCUUUUGUAAUCUCAUGGGGAAACUGAAGCAGGACAACUUGCCCAUUGAUCCAUAUAAAUUAUUUUUUUGAUAUUUAAUGCCCAUUUUGUCAUGCAGUCUUUUACAAAAUCUUUCUCGGUUUGCCAUUCGAGGAUCCUUUUAUAUAUCUUUGUUAUCCAUUUUUUUUUCAGAAGCCAUAAUUCUGUCCCAGAAUGUUUCUUUGCACAUGAAACCUUCCUUUCUGUCUUUAUUGUAAUAUUCUCUCAGUUGUCUAUAUUGGAACCACGAUAUGUCUUUGAAAUUUUCCUUGAGUUCUUCUUGUGAUUUCAUUUCUAGUCUUCCGUCACUCUGUCUUAAUAUAUCUUUAUAUGUGGGCCAUUUCUUCCAGCCUAGUAGUCUCCUUUGUCCCGCUUCUAGCGGGGAUAUCCAGAGGGGGGUUCUAGAAUAUAUCCUUACUUUAUAUUUGUUCCAGAUUUUCAUAAUUUCCGAAAUUCUUUUCUACGUUUGUUUUGUUAUACCACAAAUAUGCGUGCCAUCCGAUUCGAAGAUCAUGGCCCUCUAAGGUUAGAAUCUUUUCUCUCUUUAAUGUUGUCCAGUCUUUAACCCAUACUAGGGCACAUGCUUCGUAGUAUGAUUUCAGGUCCGGCAUUCCUAGGCCUCCUCUCUUUGUAUCAUCAAUCAGAUUGGUAUAUUUAAUUCUUGCUUUUUUCCCUAGCCAGAUGAAUUUAGUUAAGUCUUUUUCCCAUUUCUUAAAUAUGGACAUAUUUCUAAGAAUUGGAAGAUUUUGGAACAAGUAUAACAUUUUUGGCAAGACGUUCAUUUUUAUUGCCGAGAUUCUUCCUAAUAAUGACAGUUUUAGAUUUUUCCAGUUUUCCAAUUGUUUUUUUAUUUCUGCCCAUUUAACUUCGUAGUUGUUUUUCAACAAUUGCGAGUUUUUGGCGGUAAUUGAUAUUCCUAAGUAGUUAAUUUUGUUUGUGACUUGGAGUCCCGAAAUUUCCAUUAAUUUUCCUUGCUCCAUCUUGUUUAUAUUUUUUGUCAGCAUCAUCGACUUAUUUUUAUUGAUUUUAAAGCCUGCCACAUUGCCAUAUUCUUCUAUUAUGUUUAACCAUUUUUUUAUAUCUUCAGUUGGAUCCUCUAUAACACAAAUCAAAUCAUCAGCGAAUGCUCGGGUUUUAUAAUGGCUACUCCUGAUUCUAGUACCUUUCAGAUUCGUAUCUUCCCUUAUAGUCUGUAGUAGGAUUUCCAGGGCAAAAAUGAAAAUAAGGGGGGAGAGAGGGCAUCCUUGGCGGGUGCCUUUAUUGAUCCUUAUUUCCUCAGUUUUACAGCCAUUGAUCCAAAUUGUUGCUUUUUGAUCUUCGUAAAUAGCCCGUAUGGAGUUUGUAAAUUGAAAACCUAAGUCUAUUUCUUUCAUUAAUAAUUUGAAAAAGUCCCAAUUGAUGUUGUCGAAGGCCUUCUCGGCGUCGACUGCAAGUAAGGCCAUUUUCUUUUCAUUGUUUGUCUCAUAGUAGUCUAUAAUAUCGAUAAUUGUCCUAACAUUGUCUUUUAGUUGCCUAUUUGGAAGAAAGCCAGUUUGGUCCUCUUUUAUCCAGUUUCCUAGGAAUUAUUUCAUUCUUCCUGCAAGUAUAUUAGUAAAUAUUUUGUAGUCUACAUUUAAUAGAGAUAUGGGUCUAUAGUUUUUCACAUUUGUUGGGUCAGUUUUUUCUUUAUGUAUUACUGUUAUAUUGGCUUCUUUCCAAGAAUUUGGUAUUUUUCCUUCAUUAAGGAUAUUAUUCAUCAGAUUUUUUAAAUGGGGUAUUAAUUCUUCUUCAAAUGUUUUAUAAUAUGUUACUGAGAAACCGUCCGGAUCCGGUGCUUUGUUUGAGUCCAUCUUUCUAAUUGCCUUCUUUAUUUCAUCUUCGUCGAUAGAUGUGUUCAAGAGUUCUCUUUGAUCGUCUGUUAUCUUCUGUAGUUUUUUACCCCCUAGGUAUUUCAUUAUAUCCUCUUUUUUAAUUUGAUCUUUCUUAUAUAAUGUUUUAUAUAGAUUUCCUUAUCCGUCUGAAAGCAUUUUCCUUUAGAGUCAAUCCUAGUUAUGUAUUGUUUUUGUUUCCUCUUCCCGAUUUUCCUUGACAACCAUCUCCCCGGUUUAUUUGCAUUUUGAAAAUAAUCUUGUUUUACAAAUUUCAAUUUUUUUGCCAAUUCUUCCAUUUCUAUGUUAUUUUUCUGUAAUCUCAGAAGAUCUAAAUCUUUUUUCAAUUUUUGGUUUUUGGGAGAUUUUUAAAGAUUUUUUUCUAUUUUUGCCAUGUCUUCUUGUAGAUCUUUUAAUUUUUGAUUUCUUAAUUUAUUUCUCCAUGCAUUCUGUCUUAUGAAAUGGCCCCUCAUGACAGCCAGACCGUUUGUAUCGUGACUUCUGGGGUCGUAUUUAUAAGAAAAUAUUCUUUCAGAAUUAAUUUAUUUUUUCCUAUGUCUUCUUCCGUCUUCAGAAGUAGGUUGUUUACCCUCCAUUUUCCUGGACUUUUUGUUUCAUGAAUUGUAAAUCGCAUUGGGCAGUGGUCUGAGUGAGUUCUGGUUAGAAUUUCUAUUUUAGACAUUUUCGUUAUUAUGCUAUUGGAAGCCCAGACCAUAUCUAUUCGUGACCAUACCUGGUGCCUAUCCGAAUAGAAUGUGUAAUCUCUUUCUUUUUGAUGGAGGGAUCUCCAUGCAUCUUGCAUAUUGAAUUCUUGUAGUAGAUUUGUAAAAGUUUUUGGUAAGUUCUCCCCUCCGAUUUUUUUAUUUUUAUUAUUUGCUAUUGUCUUGUCGAUAUCUGAAUUCAUAAUCCCAUUGAAGUCUCCAAGUAUAAUCAAAUUAUCAAAUUCAUGUUCCAUUAUUAAAUCUUGUAGUUUUUUAACAAAUUCUGUUUUUGGGCCAUUUGGGGCAUAAAUAUUACAAAUUAAUGUUUUUUUAUUAUUUAUAUUUAUAAAUACCCCCAAGAUUCUUCCCUCGUUGUCUUUAAAUGCAAGUUCUGCUGUUAUCCUUUCUUUAACAUAUGUCACCACCCCCCUCUUUUUCUCCUUUGACAGUGAGUAGAAUUCUUUGCCUAGAAGCUUUUGGGUUAAAAGUAGAUUGUGUUUCUGUGUAAUAUGAAUUUCUUGUAGAGCCACGAUAUCAUAACACCGUUUUCUAAUGUUGUUGAAAACUUUAUUUCUCUUGGUUGGCGAGUUAAUUCCAUUAAUAUUGUUAAAAUUGCAUUUUAUUUGUCUCUCCAUCCUUCAGAAAUUCCCUCUUCUCUUGAUCCGCUAUUUCUUCCUCUUCAACUUCAUCCAAUUCUGGGAGAGCCAUGCCCUCAGGGAGGUACUCCAUAUCCGGGGAUUCUUCUCUCGACCUCUUCUUGUCCAUCUUGCCCUUUAUUUCUCCUUUUCCUUUGUCUUUUUGGGGUAUUGUUUCAAAAUCCUUUUUUAAUUUACGAUAAAAGUCUUUUGCCUUUUCUUCCGAGGUUAGCCACGAUCUCUCCUCCUUAUAGGUCACCAUGAUUCCUUCUGGUUGUUCCCAUCGAAAUUUGAUUUGUCUCUUUUUUAAUUCCCCUGUUAAGAACAUAUAUUUUCGUCUUUUAAUUAAUGUUGAUGGUAGGAAUUCUUUUAAGAUAGCUAUUUUUUUAUCUUUGUAAUAAAUUGGUUUUUUGUUAUUUUCUCUUAAAAUAUCAUCUCUGGUUUUUUUCUUUAUGAAGUGUACUAUUACAUCUCUUGGAACCUUGUUUCUCCUGGCAUAAUUAGUGGAAAUCCUAUAGACCCUGUCAAUCUCCUGAUCUACAACUUCGUAUUUACUAUGUGUUAGUUCGGAUGUUAGUUGAACUAUUGUUUCCCUAAUAUUCUCUUUACUUUCUUCCUCUACGUUUCUAUAUCUUAAUUGGUAUUCUAGAUUUUUUUGUUCCAUAAUUUCUUGUUUCAAUUCUAGUUUUUGAUUUUUAAUUUCUAGAUUCUCUAUCUUAGCUUGGGUUUUUGUUUGUAUCUUCUCUUGUUUUUGUUUAUCUUGUUUAAUUUCUUGGAUUUCCUGUUUUAAAUUAUUUAUAUCUUUUUUCAUGUCCCCCAAUUCUUCUGUAAUCUCAUUUUUCAUACAUAACAUUUGUUCCUGAAUCAUUUUCUGAUAGGCAUCUUGCUUCUCUGCCAUUCUCUGGACCUCUUUCAUCAUUUCCCUCAUUUCCUUCAUGACGUCCCUGAGACUAAUAUCUUCUGAAAGCGAGCCUCUCCUUUGUGUACCUUUAUCUUUAUCCAUUUUAAAUCUAAAUGCUGACAUUUUAUUAAAUAUAAUCACAAUCUUGUCUGUUUUUUUCCCCCCUUUAAUUUCUUUUCCUUAGUCUCAAUUUACCUUUCUGGUACUAUCUUAUUUCUUAUUUCCUCUAUUUCUUAGUGAACUUUUAACCACCGUUCCACACCCUAUUGUUCUCUUUAUCAGUUAUCCGUUGUCUCUUCAGGGAUUCCUUUUAUCCUCUUCACCACUCCGCAAAUGUCUAUGAGUUAAUCUUCUUCUUCUUCGUUGUCCCUUCGAUCUUUCUCUCUGACUCUUCUCUCUAUGUUGUUGUCUUCUAUUUGCCCUCUCUAUUUCUCCACCGUCUCUUAUAUGCCUACCCUUGGCCUCUUCGUCAGUCUACUGGUGUCCUUGGGUUGCCCCUCCGUUUCUCCGCCGUUCCUUCGCUCCUUCCCUUUGGCCUCUUCGUUCUGCUGGUGUCCUCUGGUUGUCCCUCUGCUUCGCCUUCGCCCCUUCGCACCUUUCCUUUGACUUCUUCACUCUGCGGGCACCUCUGAGUUGCCCUUCUCCUUCUUCGCCAUCUCUUCGGAUCUCCCCUCCUCCUCCUUGGACGUUCUGCCUCCUUCCCGGUGUCUCUCUGUCUCUCCGUCUCUUUAUUGCUCUCUUCCUUCCCUCGUAUCCUUUCUUGAGUUCCUUUCUCUCUUUUCCCCUUUCUGUCUUUUAUGUGCUCCAAUAUACUUCUAUAGUCCCUCUCGUCUUAAUUUUCUCUGUUCUCUACUUUCCACAGUCUAUAGUCUCCUUUCGUAUUUCCUUCUUCCCUUGGAUCCCUUCCUGGUCCGCAGCUGUAGUCCGCUCCUUCCCACUCCUUCUCUUUCUCUAUGGUAUGUGGGCUGCUCCUUUUGGUCCGAUUCCGUUCCGGGUUUCCCCUCCACCUUCCGUUAGUAAACCUUCCUCCAGCCCACGUGGACAGAUUGUUUUGUCUGAGUUUCCUGGCACUGACCCAGCGAUCCUCUCUUCAAGGUCAGCUGAGUCUUCCUUCCUUUAUUAACCAUUUAAAGUCGAGUUCUACUUCACUCGACCAAUUCUUAAUUCUCUUUCAGUUAAUUUAAUUUUCGGUUAAUUUGAUUUGAUUUCAAGAUUCACCUUAAGUUCCACAUGGAUAUGCUUCUGUAUAUAUCACCUCUGUUUUCUUUCUUUCUUUUCUUUUCAAUAGAUUGGUAAGUUUGGUCUACAAACUUGGGAAAGAGGUUUUCUUAAUGUUGCAUUUAAUUCCCCUGUAUAUUCUUAUAUAUUUCUUCCUCCGUAUAGGUAAAGUCACUCAGUCCAUUAUAGAGAAAAGAUUUUCUUUCAUACCUUCUGUUACUUGGCUUGGUAUGUGUUGUUAAAAUCAGGCGAGUUUCAGCGGUGUAUCUGGACGCCUUCGGUCCUCUCGCUUCUCCACGACCUGCUCACCCUGCGGGCUGCCAGUCCGGGUCUCUCCGGCCCCCACUCUUGAGGAGUGAGGGUCUUGAGACCGUCGGUUGACGCCCUGUGGGUUUGGCUGUCUCCCCGAACUCGAUCCGUCGGGGAGAGGGAGCUCUACGCUCUACCCGGUCGCCAGGAUCAGCUGGCUUCUUGAGAGCCCUCAAGAAGUCCACCCCGCCGCCAUCUCGCCAAACCGGAAGUCCCGGCCAGCAGCUCAAUGCUUUAACACACUUCGCCAUCAGGGCUUAUAGUGACAUAAGUAGUAUAUUUAAAUGCAGGAUAUACCUUAAAUGAAACAACAAGCCACCUGAUCAUUAACAUCAAUAUAUCUAUCCUAUAGGUAAUCCUUGGAGAAGUGAAAAACAUGGCACAACGACAUGAAAAAAAUCCUUCUUCAGUUUCUGAAGGUGAUGAGCUGAAGCCCAAAGAUGCGCAAGCCAUUGAGUAGGUAGAAUGUGUACAUCUCAGUUGAUCAAAAAAAGGAGAAACAUUGGUGCAGGUAACAUAGCAUAAAGACCAAGUGCUCAUCUACACGGGCAUCUACAUUUGGGGCUGAUCCAAAACAUUGUUGCUUCGGAUCAGCCCCAAAAUCACACUCCACUUCCAAACUGUGGCAGUGACAGAAGUGGACAUCCUAAACGUCCAUGUGGUCUAACCUUGGCUUGGUCCUGUUGGAUGGUUGACUCUAUCUUUGCUGUUGUUUGUCUGUUUGUUGCAGAGCUCCAGAGAGUAGUAGAGGCACCCAGCGACAUCCAGUGAUAAGUGACAGCCCAGGUUCUACAGCUGAUGUUUCAGCAUGAGUUGAGGAACUAUCACCAUUCACACCCAGCUUUGAUAACAUCAUAUGAAUAUCUAACUCCGGAAAUCCUUACACCCAGAAAGGAAUUCAUCUUGUGAAAUGGAGGGAAAUCCUGGAGGUCACUAAAAAAAAAAAAGAAAAUCAGAAGACAUGAUCAACUGUAGAGAGAUGGCUCCCCAGGGAAGCCGAGUUGCUGAGCAGUACAACUGUUCAAUGUAUGUUUCUCCACAGUAUUUCUGACUGAAAAUCAUUUUUGCUCGUAGGUUGAGCAAAGACUAUGUUUUUCUUUCUUUAAAAUAACAUCUAACAUUAAAUUUUGUGGGAGGCUUGGGUAGGAUGUGCUUUUCAUUUAUAUUUUUACAUAAAGGUUUUGGAAACAGCAGUGAGAACCAUUUCUGUUAAGAGAUAAAAACAAUUUUAUAUCCUGGUGGGGAUCGCUUUAUAUAUGCUGGUGACCUUGGUCUAACAACACAAGCAAAAGACUUUGAAACAGUUGAAAAACAACUUACUGAUGCCCUGAAAGAUCUCUCCAGCUACUACAAAGAUAACCACCUGAAGCCUAACCCUGUCAAGACACAAGUGGGUGCUUUCCAUCUACAUAAUCGUGAAGCCAACAGAAAACUGAAGGUUACUGGAAAGGCCAAGAGAUUGAACACUGUUCCCACCCUAAAUAUCUCAGCAUCACCUUAGGAAACACUGUGCGAACACCAAGGACAAAAUAGCUGCACGCAAUAACAUCCUACAGAAACUUACUAGCAGUGCAUGGGGGUGAAGAAAUUAAUAAGAACAUCAGCCCUGGCCUUGUCUUACUCAACUGUUGAGUAUGCCUGCCUCAUCUGGCAUAAAUCUGCCCAAGCAAAGCACCAAAUGAGACAUGUAGAAUAAUCACAGAAUGUCUUAAACAUGCACCUGUUGAGAGACUCUAUAAGCUAGCUGGCAUUGCCGCCCCCCCCUCCCCCCAAGGUGCGAUGGGAAGUUGCUGCAAAUUACGAGAGAAAUAAGGCUGGACACUGUGAAAGCCACCCACUGUAUGGCUAUCAGCCUCCUCCCAGUAGACUUAAAUCAAGGAAAAGUUUCAUGAGAACCAUUACUCCUCUAAAUGUUCCUCCAGCAACAGCAAGAAUAUCCCUGUGGGCAGCAAAAUCAGGUAAUUCCAACUGAAUGGCCCCCCACAAGGGUUUUUCUCCAGGGGCAAACCAAUAAUAGGCAACUUGGAAGUCCCUCAACAGACUCAGAAGUGGAGAUGGCAGAUCAAAUGACAACCUGGCAAAAUGGCAUGUCCUAGAAGAAUCCUCCACUUUGUGCAACUUACUGUGGAGCAGAACAAGCAACUCAGCAUCUGUAUGCUUGCCCACAAUCCCCUGCCUCAUGCACAGAGGAAGAACUGUUUAAAGCUACAGAUAAUGUAGUCGCUGUUGCCCGUCUUUGGUCCGAAAUUAUUUAGCUGCUUGUGUUCCCUCUGUUUUAUCAGUUUUAAACAUAUUUAUUUAUGCAAUGCUUUUGUCACAAAUUAAAUAAAUAAAUGGGGAUGACUUCUGCUGCAAUCUCCACCACAACUACUCAUUGAUCACAAAAGUGACUUACAUUAUCAUGAGUGACCCUUAAACCAAUGUAAGCGACCGACUAAAUUCUAGCUGGAGUCUGCAAAUCUCACUCUGACAAUGUAUGCCAAUAACCUCCAGAAAAUAAUUUUGUGAUCCUGUUGAUGCUCUGGUCUCUCUCUGGAAUGGAGGCAUGACUAGAACAAUACACAAUCACUCUGGAGUGUCCUCUCUUGAGUAACUAAGCUAAACCAGCUCUUUGGUUUAUUGAGGAGCUGGCAGCGAUGAAGCAAAAGAAGAGAGAACUAGAGUGCAUGUGGCGAUCAGAGUACGAGUCAGACCAAACACAACUAUGUUCCUAUCUUAAGACAUAUGCCGCGGCAAUCAAAGCCGCAAGAAGAGUUUUCCUUGCGGCCAACAUUGCGUCCGCAAACAACCGAUGGCCUAGGGGAUAAAAGCCUUGUGACUUAAAGGUUGGGUUGCUGACCUGAAAGUUGCCAGGUUCGAAUCCAACCCGGGGAGAGCCUGGAUGAGCUCCCUCUAUCAGCUCCAGCUCCAUGCGGGGACAUGAGAAAGCCUCCCACAAGGAUGGUAAAACAUCAAAACAUCCAGGCAUCCCCUGGGCAACGUCCUUGCAGACGGCCAAUUUUCUCACUCCAGAAGCAGCUCCGGUUGCUCCUGACACGAAAAAAAGAGGGUUGUUAACUCCCACCACUCAAGGUGGGAUCCCUGAUAAUUCUGCAGCCGACUGUGAAGCAUUUGCUCAGUUCUUUGCGGACAAAGUCGCUCUGAUCCGCUCCGACUUUGAUGCCAUAUUAACGGCAGACUCUGAGGAUGUAGCAUGAGCACCUGCUUGUCCAGUUUUGAUGGAUUCAUUUCAAUUGGUUGAGCUCGAGGAUGUGGACAAAAUUCAUGGAGAGGCGAGACUGACCACAUGCAUCCUGGACUCCUGCCCAUCCUGGCUGGUGAGAGAAGCCAGAGGGGGGUUGACCGAGUGGAUGAAGGUGGUGGUGAAUGCCUCCCUCCGGGAAGGCAAGUUUCCAGUGAGCCUAAAAAUGGCUGUGAUCAAGUCGCUGUUGAAGAAACCAUCACUGGAUCCCACUCAAUUCUGAAACUUUCAGCCUAUUUCCAAUCUUCCCUAUUCGGGCAAGGUGUUGGAACAUGUGGUUGCCUCGCAGCUCCAGGGAUUCUUGGUUGACACUGAUUUUCUGGAUCUGUCACAGUCUGGCUUUAGGCCGGGGCAUGGUACUGAGACAGCCUUGGCCACCUUAGUCAAUGAUCUUCACCGGGAGCUGGACAAGGGGAGUGUGUCCCUGCUGGUUCUGCUGGACCUCACAGCGGCCUUCGAUACCGUUGACCACGGUAUCCUUCUGGGACGCCUCGCGGGAAUGGGACUUGGAGGUACUGUUUGCAGUGGCUCCACUCAUUCCUGGAGGGUCGGUCCCAGAUGGUGUCAUUGGGGGACAACUGCUCGUUCCCACAACCAUUGACUUGUGGGGUUCCACAGGGUUCAGUACUGUCCCCCAUGUUGUUUAAUAUUUACAUGAAGCCGCUGGGAGAGAUCAUCAGAAGUUUCGGGGUCUGGUGUCAUCUCUAUACAGAUGAUGUCCAACUCUAUCUCUCCUUCCCACCUGUCACUAAUGAGGCUGUCCAGGUCCUAAACUGGUGCUUGGCCGCUGUGUCGGUCUGGAUGAGGGCCAACAAAUUGAAAUUGAAUCCAGACAAGACAGAGGUCCUCCUGUCAGUCGGAAGGCAGAACAGGGUAUAGGGUUACAGCCUGUGCUGGACGGGGUCACACUCCCCCAGAAGGUGCAGGUUCACAGUCUGGGGGUGAUCCUAGACUUAUUGUUGAGCCUGGAGCCCCAGGUCUCGGUGGUGGCUAAGGGAGCCUUCGCACAGCUAAAACGUGUGCCAGCUGCGACCGUACCUUGAGAAACCGUACCUUGGCCACAGUGGUCCAUGCUCUUGUUACAUCCCGAUUAGACUACUGCAAUGCGCUGUACGUGGGGCUGCCUUUGAAGACUGUUCGGAAGCUUCAACUAGUUCAACGGGAGGCAGCCAGGUUAAUAACUGAAGCAGCAUGCUACUCCUCUGUUGUACCAGCUCCACUGGCUGCCGAUUAGCUACUGAGCACAAUUCAAGGUGCUGGCUUUAGCCUAUAAAGCCCUAAACGGUUCCAGCCCAGCUUACUUGUCCAAAUGUGUCUCCCACUACGACCACCUCAAAAUUUAAGAUCUUCAGGUGAGUCCCUGCUGGCGGUCCCGCCAGCCUCACAGGUGCGGCUGGCGGGGACAAGAGACAGGGCCUUUUCAGUAGUGGCUCCCCCACCUAUGGAACGCCCUCCCAAAUGAUGUCAGGCAGGCUCCCUCCCUCCUAUCUUUCCAUAGAAAAGUUAAGACCUGGUUGUGGGACCAGGCCUUCAAACAAUAACAGCAACAUUACUACUACCACGCUUUAGAAUUCAAUGACAGACCCAGUUUUUAGACUCGAAAUGUGCCAAUUGUAUAUUUAUAUGUAUAUUUUUAUGAAUGUUUAAUGUAUUUAAUUUUAAUUGAUUGAAUGUUCUGUAUUAUUUUUAUAUGUGUGUUUUUAUUGUAAGCCGCCCUGAGUCCCCUGUUGGGUGGGAAGGACGGGAUCAAGUACUGCAAUAAAUAAAUAAAUAAUAUUCAGUAUGUA
Molecule: long non-coding RNA, 16565 nt
Organism: Anolis carolinensis (green anole)
Lineage: Eukaryota; Metazoa; Chordata; Lepidosauria; Squamata; Anolidae
Exons: 3
Source: RefSeq, a predicted model, not a curated record